This 72-nucleotide transfer RNA is filed under the name Candidatus Cybelea sp. RNAcentral's name for it is "tRNA-Thr". It matches the Rfam family "tRNA". From Rfam's summary of the family: Transfer RNA (tRNA) molecules are approximately 80 nucleotides in length. Their secondary structure includes four short double-helical elements and three loops (D, anti-codon, and T loops). RNAcentral also lists the same sequence under 1 other name. The record is from RNAcentral. Lineage: Bacteria; Bacillati; Vulcanimicrobiota; Vulcanimicrobiia; Vulcanimicrobiales; Vulcanimicrobiaceae.
GCCGACGUAGCUCAACGGUAGAGCAAUCGCUUCGUAAGCGAUAGGUUAUCGGUUCGAAUCCGAUCGUCGGCU